AGAGUUUGAUCCUGGCUCAGGACGAACGCUGGCGGCGUGCUUAACACAUGCAAGUCGAACGGAGUUCCUCGGAUCAAGACUUCGGUCAAGUGAACUGGAACUUAGUGGCGGACUGGUGAGUAACGCGUGAGGAACCUGCCUUUCAGAGGGGGACAACAGUUGGAAACGACUGCUAAUACCGCAUGACGCAUUCGGGUCGCAUGGCCUGAAUGCCAAAGAUUUUAUCGCUGAAAGAUGGCCUCGCGUCUGAUUAGCUAGUUGGUGAGGUAACGGCCCACCAAGGCGACGAUCAGUAGCCGGACUGAGAGGUUGACCGGCCACAUUGGGACUGAGAUACGGCCCAGACUCCUACGGGAGGCAGCAGUGGGGAAUAUUGGGCAAUGGACGCAAGUCUGACCCAGCAACGCCGCGUGAAGGAAGAAGGCUUUCGGGUUGUAAACUUCUUUUAAGGGGGAAGAGUAGAAGACGGUACCCCUUGAAUAAGCCACGGCUAACUACGUGCCAGCAGCCGCGGU
RNAcentral lists this ribosomal RNA (515 nucleotides) under uncultured bacterium. RNAcentral's name for it is "bacterial SSU rRNA". It matches the Rfam family "Bacterial small subunit ribosomal RNA", at positions 8 to 521 of the family's 1533-position model. The record is from RNAcentral.